CCUACGGGCGGCUGCAGUCGAGAAUCAUUCACAAUGGGGGAAACCCUGAUGGUGCGACGCCGCGUGGGGGAAUGAAGGUCUUCGGAUUGUAAACCCCUGUCAUGUGGGAGCAAAUUAAAAAGAUAGUACCACAAGAGGAAGAGACGGCUAACUCUGUGCCAGCAGCCGCGGUAAUACAGAGGUCUCAAGCGUUGUUCGGAAUCACUGGGCGUAAAGCGUGCGUAGGCUGUUUCGUAAGUCGUGUGUGAAAGGCGCGGACUCAACCCGCGGACGGCACAUGAUACUGCGAGACUAGAGUAAUGGAGGGGGAACCGGAAUUCUCGGUGUAGCAGUGAAAUGCGUAGAUAUCGAGAGGAACACUCGUGGCGAAGGCGGGUUCCUGGACAUUAACUGACGCUGAGGCACGAAGGCCAGGGGAGCGAAAGGGAUUAGAUACCCCUGUAGUC
This 446-nucleotide ribosomal RNA is filed under the name uncultured bacterium. RNAcentral describes it as "partial 16S ribosomal RNA". It matches the Rfam family "Bacterial small subunit ribosomal RNA", at positions 338 to 795 of the family's 1533-position model. The record is from RNAcentral.